Molecule: transfer RNA, 72 nt
Filed under: Camelus ferus (Wild Bactrian camel)
Lineage: Eukaryota; Metazoa; Chordata; Mammalia; Artiodactyla; Camelidae
Rfam family: tRNA
About the family: Transfer RNA (tRNA) molecules are approximately 80 nucleotides in length. Their secondary structure includes four short double-helical elements and three loops (D, anti-codon, and T loops).
Source: Rfam by way of RNAcentral
GAGGGUAGAGCUCAGUGGUAGAGUGCAUGCUUAGCAUGCACAAAGUCCUGGGUUCAAUCCCCAGCACCUCCA